AGAGUUUGAUCCUGGCUCAGGAUGAACGCUGGCGGCGUGCCUAAUACAUGCAAGUCGAGCGAACGGACGAGAAGCUUGCUUCUCUGAUGUUAGCGGCGGACGGGUGAGUAACACGUGGAUAACCUACCUAUAAGACUGGGAUAACUUCGGGAAACCGGAGCUAAUACCGGAUAAUAUUUUGAACCGCAUGGUUCAAAAGUGAAAGACGGUCUUGCUGUCACUUAUAGAUGGAUCCGCGCUGCAUUAGCUAGUUGGUAAAGUAACGGCUUACCAAGGCAACGAUGCAUAGCCGACCUGAGAGGGUGAUCGGCCACACUGGAACUGAGACACGGUCCAGACUCCUACGGGAGGCAGCAGUAGGGAAUCUUCCGCAAUGGGCGAAAGCCUGACGGAGCAACGCCGCGUGAGUGAUGAAGGUCUUCGGAUCGUAAAACUCUGUUAUUAGGGAAGAACAUAUGUGUAAGUAACUGUGCACAUCUUGACGGUACCUAAUCAGAAAGCCACGGCUAACUACGUGCCAGCAGCCGCGGUAAUACGUAGGUGGCAAGCGUUAUCCGGAAUUAUUGGGCGUAAAGCGCGCGUAGGCGGUUUUUUAAGUCUGAUGUGAAAGCCCACGGCUCAACCGUGGAGGGUCAUUGGAAACUGGAAAACUUGAGUGCAGAAGAGGAAAGUGGAAUUCCAUGUGUAGCGGUGAAAUGCGCAGAGAUAUGGAGGAACACCAGUGGCGAAGGCGACUUUCUGGUCUGUAACUGACGCUGAUGUGCGAAAGCGUGGGGAUCAAACAGGAUUAGAUACCCUGGUAGUCCACGCCGUAAACGAUGAGUGCUAAGUGUUAGGGGGUUUCCGCCCCUUAGUGCUGCAGCUAACGCAUUAAGCACUCCGCCUGGGGAGUACGACCGCAAGGUUGAAACUCAAAGGAAUUGACGGGGACCCGCACAAGCGGUGGAGCAUGUGGUUUAAUUCGAAGCAACGCGAAGAACCUUACCAAAUCUUGACAUCCUUUGACAACUCUAGAGAUAGAGC
RNAcentral lists this ribosomal RNA (1023 nucleotides) under Staphylococcus aureus M1431. Its description in RNAcentral is "bacterial SSU rRNA". It matches the Rfam family "Bacterial small subunit ribosomal RNA", at positions 8 to 1012 of the family's 1533-position model. The record is from RNAcentral. Lineage: Bacteria; Bacillati; Bacillota; Bacilli; Caryophanales; Staphylococcaceae.